This 483-nucleotide ribosomal RNA is filed under the name uncultured bacterium. RNAcentral's name for it is "partial 16S ribosomal RNA". It matches the Rfam family "Bacterial small subunit ribosomal RNA", at positions 29 to 507 of the family's 1533-position model. The record is from RNAcentral.
UUGAACGCUGGCGGCAUGCUUUACACAUGCCAGUCGAACGGCAGCGCGGGCUUCGGCCUGGCGGCGAGUGGCGAACGGGUGAGUAAUGCAUCGGAACGUGCCCAGUAGUGGGGGAUAGCCCGGCGAAAGCCGGAUUAAUACCGCAUACGACCUGAGGGUGAAAGCGGGGGACCGAAAGGCCUCGCGCUAUUGGAGCGGCCGAUGUCGGAUUAGCUAGUUGGUGGGGUAAAGGCUUACCAAGGCGACGAUCCGUAGCUGGUCUGAGAGGACGACCAGCCACACUGGGACUGAGACACGGCCCAGACUCCUACGGGAGGCAGCAGUGGGGAAUUUUGGACAAUGGGGGCAACCCUGAUCCAGCCAUGCCGCGUGAGGGAAGAAGGCCUUCGGGUUGUAAACCGCUUUUGUUCGGGAAGAAAUCCUCUGGGCUAAUACCCCGGGGGGAUGACGGUACCGGAAGAAUAAGCACCGGCUAACUACGUG